GACGAACGCUGGCGGCGUGCUUAAUACAUGCAAGUCGAACGAGGUUGAGUCAGUGGCAACACUGACGACUGCCUAGUGGCGAACGGGUGAGUAACACGUGAGGAACCUGCCCCGAAGACCGGGAUAACCCUCCGAAAGGAGAGCUAAUACCGGAUACCCCCACCGAACCGCAUGGCUCGGUGAGGAAAUGGAUUCCGCUUCGGGAGGGUCUCGCGGCCUAUCAGCUUGUUGGUGGGGUAACGGCCCACCAAGGCAUCGACGGGUAGCUGGUCUGAGAGGACGAUCAGCCACACUGGGACUGAGACACGGCCCAGACUCCUACGGGAGGCAGCAGUAGGGAAUCUUGCGCAAUGGGCGAAAGCCUGACG
RNAcentral lists this ribosomal RNA (368 nucleotides) under uncultured bacterium. RNAcentral's name for it is "bacterial SSU rRNA". It matches the Rfam family "Bacterial small subunit ribosomal RNA", at positions 28 to 388 of the family's 1533-position model. The record is from RNAcentral.